GGCAGUCUGCUACUCUUUCCCUGUUGCACUACUGUCCAAAGUUACAGCUAGCAGUGCAAUAAUGAAAGGGCGUCAGCCACCCC
Podarcis lilfordi (Lilford's wall lizard) is the source of this 83-nucleotide non-coding RNA. The record is from the annotation of a GenBank genome assembly. Lineage: Eukaryota; Metazoa; Chordata; Lepidosauria; Squamata; Lacertidae.